This 3128-nucleotide long non-coding RNA is filed under the name Ananas comosus (pineapple). Its description in RNAcentral is "long non-coding RNA (ACOM_LNC038475)". Lineage: Eukaryota; Viridiplantae; Streptophyta; Magnoliopsida; Poales; Bromeliaceae. The record is from RNAcentral.
AAUCCUCAUAUUUCGAGAAUUCACUUCCUCACACCGAGAGUGAAAUUUUGGACCGAAUCGAUGUCAACGUUCACAAUAACCAAAACCGGAACAAUAUUAGACUACUCUGUUGCGCCCUAACAGUAUAACUUUGCAACGAGCACUUUUUCUCAUUCAAUCGAACAAAGUGUAAAACCUAAUUAUAUUGUUCUAUUAUGCCCCUAGAGUGUAAAUUUGGAACGAAUCAAUGUGAACGUUCACAAGAACCAAAACCGGAACAAUAUUAGAUUACUCUGUUGCGCCCUAACUGUCACGCCCCAGACCGCACCACCCGAAAACGGUACCAAUUUGGUCCGGUUCGAGGGCGGUGGCGCGACCGCCGAACGGACGGAGUUUCCCCUGUCCGCCCAAGGCUAAGCAACAGAUUGUCUACAACAAGUCCCCAGGAAAACAACUUGCAUUCAUACACAAUCAACAACGAAACGAGAGCACAAACAGUGCUACAACCAACUAGAGCAAGCGAUACAAGUAAAAUCAUACAAGUAUACAAAAGAGAGAAACUUAUCUAUUUGAGACAUAAUUGAAUAUUCAACCUCUUUCGAUAUCAUUUAAACUUUAAGCAUUUAAUACAACUUGCAUUCUUUUUCCAAAUGAAUAUACAUCAUAAACUCUCCAAAACCUCACCCUAUACAUCAUCUACUCUCAAAGCAUAACCAAAAGUACAGGGUAUAGAGCUAAUGCAAGUAGGUAAAGGAAGCUAUCUACCAAAAGCUAGGGCGCUAUGCCCUUACCAUGAUCCAUCGCUGAAGGCCCGCUGUCCUGUGUACCUGUACCCCCAAAGCCACACGGGGGUGAGAACUACGAAUAGUUCCCAGUGGGUUCGGCCGCCGACUCCGCCGAUCUACCCACUAGGUCUCAAGCAGGCAUAGAGAGAUAUAUAUGCAAUAUAUAUAUAACUGAGCUAAACUGAAAGCAGGUAUGUAAACGACUAUAUCAAGCUAUGCCUCAAUCUGGAAUCAUGAAUGCAUGAACAAUAAAUAAAGCUGGGUAAGUAAGCAACUAUCAACAUCUACAACAGCUAUCGUAGUAAGCUAUAAACGUGCUACUAGGUAAGCAAACAGGCUGAUAUGAACAAUGAACAGCUACUAUGAACAUCAAUCACGGGUAAGACUCAAUGGGUAACCCAAUCUCCAAGCGAACACAAGGUUCACAAGUAAGGCUCACAUAUCAAUCUCCGAGGGAUGCCUAGCUGGUCGAUCCCCGAGUACGCCUGCGGAUAACAAGCGGCUAUCCGAGCAGCGAGCAGGGCUGCCUCUCUAGUGACCAAACUCCGGAGCGCACAACUUGAGGGGAGCGACCCCACCAAGCGCAGACAGGCAAUGUGAGCAAGAUCAUCUCACGAGCAACAACAACCCUUUGAGGGUAAUAUCAUCAUGAAAGCAAGGUAUACUUGUAUCCAAUCUCAUAGUGUCUCAACUACACUAAUAUGACCAUCUCAAGCAACGUCAACAUGUGCCACUCAAUCAUAGUUUUCUAACUAGAUGCCACUCGUCAUUUAGACUCAUUAUCAACACUAGUUUCAUCAUACUAGUUCUUUAGCAACAUAAGCAUUGAUCACCUCAUAUAGGGUCUAGGGUUUCAUCAAGCAAUCAUCAUGCAUACUAGAUCAUAAACCAACCAAGCAAGAUAUAUAUAUUGAACUACUAGCAUGCAAGUAUAAGCAACAAUAAUCAUUUUCUAACCCUAUAUGUUUAUGCACAAUAUGCAAAUAGAUCAAAUUAAACUUAGACAUAGAAGGUAGCCCGAUGACUUCGGGAUGGCACUCCCCCACCUUAGGUGAUGCCGCAAACACUCUGAGACGCGUUCUCGUGCUAGUUUUGUCGCCGCUUAAUUUUCGUUGGGUUAACUUUAACCCUUUAGCGCAUCAAAUGGCGAUAUCUUCGUGCCCACUCGUCGGAUCGACGAACCGUCUUCGCCUACGCGUUUAUAAGCAUGGAAAUUAGGUUUCUAACCCCUCAAAAGAGAUCAAACCCUUAUAUUUCCAAAAAACCCAAAUCUAACCCUAGGUUUAGCAACAAUAGAGAAAUCAUGGUUUCAAGCUCCAAAUUUGGGAUUGAACCUUCUCUUAAGCUCCAAUGGUUUACAUUUGAACCACCCUUAAGCAACAAAACCCUUUUUAAAACCUAGGUUUAGCAAUAAUGAGGAAAACCAUGGGUGCUAGCCUCAAUGUGAGCUAGAUCCAUCAUCUCUAAACUCAUUAGGUUCCAUUUGAACCAAUUAAAGCAACAAAAACCUCCCAAACCCUAGAAAUCCAAAACUAGGGUUAGAGCUUACCUCUAGGGUUUGCUCCAAAGCAAGCCCUAGCUUGAAAACGUGGAGGAGAAGAGCUUCUUCUCUUUCCCCUUGAUCUUCUCCUUCCUUUUCUUCCUCUCUUCUUCUUCUUUCUCUCCUUCUUUUUCCUUUUCUCCUUCUUCUUCAACCGGUUAGAGAGAGAGAGAGGGGGGCUGUGGGAGUGAGAGAGGAGAGAGCUGAGAGUGAGGGGGUUAAGUUCUCUAUUGUAACAAAAUGCUAAAGAGCCCUCCUUUUAUCAGAUUUUGCAACUUAACCCGCUGCUGCCGCGCCCUUGUACCGGUACACGGGACCUUGUACCGGUACAAGGCCUUAUACGGAGCGCAAACCGAGCCUCGGGUUAGUCUGUUUCGCAGGGCUUGUACCGGUACAAGCCAGCCUUGUACCGGUACAGCACCUGAAGCCUUCGAACCCGAGAGCUGCGCAGCCCGGCUGCGAUGGUUGUACCGGUACAGCCAUCACCCUUGUACCGGUACAGCAGCUCCAGAAUGCUGUUUUUCGAUCUGUUUCGAUUUCUUUUCGCGUCCAACAACGCUAAAACUAUUCCAACACUUUUGGAACUCAUUUUUACUCUUCCAAACAUGUUGAAACACUGAAUGGAACUUGUCCAAACCGUCCAAUCGCCCACUUUGGUCCAUUUGGCCAAAGUUAGCCAAUAUCGUCGAAUUUCGAUAUCUUACACUAACAGUAUAACUUUGCAACGAGCACUUUUUCUCAUUCAAUCGAACAAAGUGUAAAACCAAAAUAUAUUGUUCUAUUAUGCCCCUAGAGUGUAAAUUUGGAACGAAUCAAUGUCAACG